This 435-nucleotide ribosomal RNA is filed under the name uncultured bacterium. RNAcentral describes it as "partial 16S ribosomal RNA". It matches the Rfam family "Bacterial small subunit ribosomal RNA", at positions 29 to 507 of the family's 1533-position model. The record is from RNAcentral.
AGCGAACGCUGGCGGCAGGCUUAACACAUGCAAGUCGAGCGGGCACUUUCGGGUGUCAGCGGCGGACGGGUGAGUAACGCGUGGGAACGUGCCCUCUGGUUCGGAAUAACUCAGGGAAACUUGAGCUAAUACCGGAUACGCCCUUUUGGGGAAAGGCUUGCUGCCGGAGGAUCGGCCCGCGUCUGAUUAGCUAGUUGGUGAGGUAACGGCUCACCAAGGCGACGAUCAGUAGCUGGUCUGAGAGGAUGAUCAGCCACACUGGGACUGAGACACGGCCUAGACUCCUACGGGAGGCAGCAGUGGGGAAUAUUGGACAAUGGGCGCAAGCCUGAUCCAGCCAUGCCGCGUGAGUGAUGAAGGCCUUAGGGUUGUAAAGCUCUUUUAUCCGGGACGAUAAUGACGGUACCGGAGGAAUAAGCCCCGGCUAACUUCGUG